GACGAACGCUGGCGGCGUGCUUAACACAUGCAAGUCGAACGGAAAGGCCCUGCUUUUGUGGGGUGCUCGAGUGGCGAACGGGUGAGUAACACGUGAGUAACCUGCCCUUGACUUUGGGAUAACUUCAGGAAACUGGGGCUAAUACCGGAUAGGAGCUCCUGCUGCAUGGUGGGGGUUGGAACGUUUCGGCGGUUGGGGAUGGACUCGCGGCUUAUCAGCUUGUUGGUGGGGUAGUGGCUUACCAAGGCUUUGACGGGUAGCCGGCCUGAGAGGGUGACCGGCCACAUUGGGACUGAGAUACGGCCCAGACUCCUACGGGGGGCAGCAGUGGGGAAUAUUGCACAAUGGGCGGAAGCCUGAUGCAGCAACGCCGCGUGCGGGAUGACGGCCUUCGGGUUGUAAACCGCUUUCGCCUGUGACGAAGCGUGAGUGACGGUAAUGGGUAAAGAAGCACCGGCUAACUACGUG
Molecule: ribosomal RNA, 468 nt
Filed under: uncultured bacterium
Lineage: Bacteria
Description: partial 16S ribosomal RNA
Rfam family: Bacterial small subunit ribosomal RNA
Source: RNAcentral